UCUUCAGCUUCACUGUAUCAUUAAAGAAACAAUUAAAAAAAAAACUAAAAACAGGGUACACAUUGAAGAUGAGAAGACUGAGGCUCUGAGACACUGACAUCAUCCAGCUUUUUCAGUUAACGAGAUGCAAUAUUUGAAAUCAAGCUUGUUCUGACUUCAAAUUCCUUGUUCCUGCCAGGCCUUUUCAAGAUCUAAAACUAUGGGAUUCUUGAGCUGAAAGGGAAUUUAGAGAUCUGCUGGCCAGCUUUUGCCUGAUUCUGAAGGAUGUUAAAUACAUUUCCACAAAACAACAUUUGGCAAAUGCCAAAUUAAAAGUUGUUAAGUGGAUUUCUUGAUCACAGAAUGUCCCAGAGCUUUUAUUUUGCUGGCUAAUCUUGAUGCUUUUGCUGAUCUUAUUUGACAAUGAAUUUAUCUUGGGGUCCAUCUACCUAAGAACCACAUCAUAUCAGGGAUCUGGGAUGAGCUGCCCUCUCUGCUUCUUUAUAGAAAUAGAAUUUCACUUGUUCUGGACUUUUCUUGGAGUCACUCCUAUGCCACCUCAAGUUGACCUGGAAGGAAGUGGAAGAAUUGAACUUUUAAUUGUUAUUCAACUGAUUGACCAUUGGAAACAGGAAGUGGUAAUGAAGCGGCAGAUUUCUGCCCUCCUGAUUCUUUGCGCAAACAUCUAUUAGUUGUGCUCCAGAUUCCAGGGACUGGCUGGGGAUCUGUGUGGGAAGCUGGAGAGGACAGCUCCUGCCCUCAGUGUGUUGUUCCCUCAUCUGGUGUGUGUUAGUCGCUCAGUCAUGUCCGACUCUUUGCGACCCCGUGGGCUGUGGCCCGCCAGGCUCCUCUGUCCGUGGGAUUCUCCAGGCAAGAAUUCUGGAGUGGGUUGCCAUUCCCUUCUCUCAUACUCUAGAAGAAGGUGCACACCAAUCUCACAAAUAAUGACAAACAUUUGAUGAAAGGGGGCACUCGACAGAAGCCCAGAGAGGGCGGUAGCUCAUCCUGGUGAAGAAGGAUGCAGGGGCAGCUUUGUGCUCCGGUGCCUGCUCUUCCUCUUGGAGGGACAAAGGUCGUAUCAGCCCCUUCAGCUGCCCCAGGCGAGGAGGGUGGAGACUGUGUACCCAGCUGACAGAAGGUGUGGACGCCUCCUGGGACCCACCCCAGGGCAUUGGCAUCUGAGCUCCACAGCUUUCCUGACAGAAAGGAAAAAAAAAAAGAUUGAAAAUGUCUCAACUCCACAUGUCCUAUUUUUAAUUGAUUUUUGCACAGACUCUUCAAUCAGGAAAUGAAGUCCAGAGGCACAGAGAGAAGGUGGCCACCUCCCACUCCUCUCCCAGCAGCGCACUCACUGAGGGUCCCAUCACAGUCCUUUCGGACCACCGCUCAGGCCUUUGCUGAACACAAGCCUCCCAGGUCCAGACAGUCACAGAACAGCAAGAGGAGGUGACGCCUUGAGUCAUAUUCAUAUUCACUUUGACAUCGCCAUUGCCUCUCUGUGCAUCUGCGUGGUCUGAAGAAGGGAGUCUCGUUCAGGAAACACCUGCUGGAAGGAGGGCUUUGGAAAUGCCCAGGUGUGUCUGGUUGUCUUAGCAGUGGGCUGGGGGUGAUCUCAGCGCUUAUUGGGGAAAGGGCAGAGAUGCUAAAC
Bos taurus (domestic cattle) is the source of this 1627-nucleotide long non-coding RNA. The record is from Ensembl. NCBI's taxonomy places the organism in Eukaryota, Metazoa, Chordata, Mammalia, Artiodactyla, Bovidae.